UACAGAGGUCCCGAGCGUUGUUCGGAUUCACUGGGCGUAAAGGGUGCGUAGGUGGUGAGGUAAGUCGGAUGUGAAAUCUCCGGGCUCAACCCGGAAAUGGCAUUGGAAACUACCUUGCUGGAGGAUUUGAGGGGGGAUUGGAAUACUUGGUGUAGCAGUGAAAUGCGUAGAUAUCAAGUGGAACACCAGUGGCGAAGGCGGGUCUCUGGGCCGUAACUGACGCUGAGGAGCGAAAGCGUGGGGAGCGAACAGG
RNAcentral lists this ribosomal RNA (253 nucleotides) under uncultured bacterium. RNAcentral describes it as "partial 16S ribosomal RNA". It matches the Rfam family "Bacterial small subunit ribosomal RNA", at positions 524 to 776 of the family's 1533-position model. The record is from RNAcentral.